AAAUUCAGUAAACAAGAAGCUGUUAAGCCGGAAGAUAGGAGAAUUACCAUCCACUUGAAGUCGCAAGGGAAAGAUUUGUCGAAGCUCAUAAUCUUACCUGCUUCCAUGGAAGAUCUUAUGAGACUUGCAGGUAAGAAAUUCAACUCUUAAUGUUCUAAUAAACAAGUGAGCGUGUGAAGAACAAAAGAAUACUUCUCCAUAAAAAAAAAAAGCUCCUCAAAUUAAUUAAACAAAACCACAAUAUUAUGUAGGUGAAAAAUUUGGAGAUAGAAGCUUUACAAUGGUCACCAGUGCUGAAAACGCAGAGAUUGAUGAUGUAAAUGUCAUUAGAGAUGGUGAUCAUCUGUAUUUUUACAUCAGUGAGCUUGAAAGCAUAGACUCUUGACGUGACUUGUAUUAUGAAUGUUAAUUACCCUUCCAUAAAG
RNAcentral lists this long non-coding RNA (425 nucleotides) under Brassica rapa (field mustard). RNAcentral's name for it is "long non-coding RNA (BRAP_LNC000106)". Lineage: Eukaryota; Viridiplantae; Streptophyta; Magnoliopsida; Brassicales; Brassicaceae. The record is from RNAcentral.